This 414-nucleotide ribosomal RNA is filed under the name uncultured freshwater bacterium. RNAcentral's name for it is "bacterial SSU rRNA". It matches the Rfam family "Bacterial small subunit ribosomal RNA", at positions 958 to 1372 of the family's 1533-position model. The record is from RNAcentral.
AACGCGAAGAACCUUACCCACCUUUGACAUGUACGGAAGCCUUUAGAGAUAGAGGCGUGCUCGAAAGAGAGCCGUAACACAGGUGCUGCAUGGCUGUCGUCAGCUCGUGUCGUGAGAUGUUGGGUUAAGUCCCGCAACGAGCGCAACCCUUGUCAUUAGUUGCUACAUUCAGUUGGGCACUCUAAUGAGACUGCCGGUGACAAACCGGAGGAAGGUGGGGAUGACGUCAAGUCCUCAUGGCCCUUAUAGGUGGGGCUACACACGUCAUACAAUGGAUGGUACAAAGGGUCGCCAACCCGCGAGGGGGAGCCAAUCCCAUAAAACCAUUCGUAGUCCGGAUCGCAGUCUGCAACUCGACUGCGUGAAGUCGGAAUCGCUAGUAAUCGUGGAUCAGAAUGUCACGGUGAAUACGUU